Molecule: long non-coding RNA, 1089 nt
Filed under: Equus caballus (horse)
Lineage: Eukaryota; Metazoa; Chordata; Mammalia; Perissodactyla; Equidae
Description: lncRNA (ENSECAG00000042664.2)
Source: RNAcentral
CUGAAGUCUAAAGAUACCAAUUGGAAUACAUUAUCCACAGUUACCAGCUGUGGAAUUUUGAGCAUAAGUAAGUUACUAAUCUCUUAGUCUUACUUGCUCAUCUGUUGCCAAGAGCUGGAAGAAGAUGGCCUCUGCAGGGUCACCUUCCAAGUCCCUCAGGAAGGCAACUAACGGGAGGAACUUAAUGUGCAUCCAGAGACCAAGAUGGCGGGAGUGUGGGAAACGUGGCUUUUAGCAUGCCAGCACCUUCCAAAGGGAAGAUAGGUGGAAUGGAGGUGAAGGGACCGAUGCAAAGUGCUAAACACAAGUUUAAAAUUUGGACUAUGGCUGUUUACAAGGAAGAAUCAAUGUCUUCACACAGGGAGAUCUUUAAAGGCUUUAUUAAAAUGCAGAGAAGGCUUUCCAACAAGGAUGCGAGGGCAGAUGGAAGUGAGAGGCCUUCAUAACGAGAUUAAGCAGAUGGGAAAGUUUACGACUAAUGAGAAGGGCAAAAGGACGCUAAAAGUGAUCAUUUUCUUGAAAUUAUAGUGAGGAGAAGGAUCUGUGCUUUACGUCUUGGGAACCUCCUCUGGUCAUGAACUCAGAAUGGGAAUUUUUUCCAGUAUUCUCUGGGGUAGCUGCUUUCAGAAAGAGGCGGAAAGGCAUGACACUACUUUAAGGUGUUCUAACAGAUUCUGUGAAUUUCAAGGCUAAUUAAUCUCAAGAAGUUUAUCAUUGAUGACAGCUGCUACGGCUUGAUCCUGCUCUUGCAAGGGCUCUAUGACAAUGGAAAUUACAUCAUGGUGUUUCUAGGGACGAGACGGAUGGAAAGCCAACUAGGUGAAUAAACAUGCAACUAAGAUUUUGCACGGCUUAUUUAGUACAGAUCACAUCUAUGUGAAGUUUCGACUGAAACAUAGAAUAAAUUCUAAUUUAUUUAUUGAGUAUCUUCAAGUCCAGCAAUCUGUCUUCACAACAACUCUUUAAUUGUCAUAGUUUUAUAAUAUACUUCAAUUCUGAAAGGACUUGGUCCCAAGGGUGUAUAAUGAGCCUGGCAAAGAAAGAAAGUGGUUCAAUUCAAAGAGACACAAGUUGUUUAAAGAGACUGAG